Molecule: ribosomal RNA, 637 nt
Filed under: bacterium 31-L049616-122-011-G04
Lineage: Bacteria
Description: bacterial SSU rRNA
Rfam family: Bacterial small subunit ribosomal RNA
Source: RNAcentral
AGUCGAGCGGUAGAGAGAAGCUUGCUUCUCUUGAGAGCGGCGGACGGGUGAGUAAUGCCUAGGAAUCUGCCUGGUAGUGGGGGAUAACGUUCGGAAACGGACGCUAAUACCGCAUACGUCCUACGGGAGAAAGCAGGGGACCUUCGGGCCUUGCGCUAUCAGAUGAGCCUAGGUCGGAUUAGCUAGUUGGUGAGGUAAUGGCUCACCAAGGCGACGAUCCGUAACUGGUCUGAGAGGAUGAUCAGUCACACUGGAACUGAGACACGGUCCAGACUCCUACGGGAGGCAGCAGUGGGGAAUAUUGGACAAUGGGCGAAAGCCUGAUCCAGCCAUGCCGCGUGUGUGAAGAAGGUCUUCGGAUUGUAAAGCACUUUAAGUUGGGAGGAAGAGCAGUUACCUAAUACGUGAUUGUUUUGACGUUACCGACAGAAUAAGCACCGGCUAACUCUGUGCCAGCAGCCGCGGUAAUACAGAGGGUGCAAGCGUUAAUCGGAAUUACUGGGCGUAAAGCGCGCGUAGGUGGUUUGUUAAGUUGGAUGUGAAAUCCCCGGGCUCAACCUGGGAACUGCAUUCAAUACUGACUGACUAGAGUGUGGUAGAGGGGGGUGAAAUUUCCUGUGUAGCGGUGAAAUGCGUA